AUUCAAGUGACAAUUCAAAUACAUUUGAAGUAUUAUUUACAAGUGUAAUGUGUCAUAAAUCAUUUUUUUUACAUUUGUAAUGAGCCUUUUUGAAAGUGUGAGAAGAUAUUUGUUUGAUAUUGCAUCAGCAAACACGCUAGCCCGGUACUGAUUGAUCCACGGCCCAAAUGUUAUGGAACAAUGCUCUAAAUUAUUACACUGUACAUUACAUCAAUAGUUCUCAAACUGUGAUAAUUGGAGAAACAUUAAAAAUAGGUUAAGCCUCCCCUAUUAUCAGUUUUAAGAUCUUCAGUUGAUCAACUCCUUAAGAUAAUAAACCCAUAAGCCUACUUCCUUUCUUUAUUAUCUAUAAAUAAUUAUGCUGAUAUUAACAAAAGUAUUAAUUCAAGUGUAUCAUCUGUACCCACCUUCUCCUCGUGCUCUCACAAAAGAACCAUCUCUAAUUAUCUAUUAUAUCAGGUUUUGAAUUUCAACAAUCAAUUUUGAAAAUGUAAAUAAAUGUAUCGUCGUUAAAUGUAAAAUAAAUCCAAAUGUAUAAAGUUUAGAAAAGAGAAUCCGAAUUUAUAGGUGAAUUAUGAUGAGCUUAUUAAUUUUUGUAUUUUAUUUUUGGGGAUUAAAACCUUUUGUAAUUAUUUUGCAUUCAUUUGAUGUAUCUUUUUUGUAAUGUAAAAAAACCAUAUUGUUAGUUUGAAUGUUAAACAUGUUUUGUUUUUUAAUAAAAAAAAUUGAUUUAUUGAAUGUA
This 742-nucleotide long non-coding RNA is filed under the name Lepeophtheirus salmonis (salmon louse). Its description in RNAcentral is "uncharacterized LOC121128068". The record is from RNAcentral. Lineage: Eukaryota; Metazoa; Arthropoda; Copepoda; Siphonostomatoida; Caligidae.